This 422-nucleotide ribosomal RNA is filed under the name uncultured bacterium. Its description in RNAcentral is "bacterial SSU rRNA". It matches the Rfam family "Bacterial small subunit ribosomal RNA", at positions 355 to 774 of the family's 1533-position model. The record is from RNAcentral.
UGAGGAAUAUUGGGCAAUGCCCGCAAGGGUGACCCAGCAACGCCGCGUGGAGGAUGAAUGUCGUAAGAUUGUAAACUCCUGUUAGAGGGGAAGAAUAGUACCGGUUGGACCGGUAUAUGACUGUACCCUCAGAGAAAGCCCCGGCUAACUACGUGCCAGCAGCCGCGGUAAUACGUAGGGGGCAAGCGUUGUCCGGAUUUACUGGGUGUAAAGGGCGCGCAGGCGGGAUAAAAAGUCAGUGGUGAAAUCCUACAGCUUAACUGUAGAACUGCCUUUGAUACUUUUAUUCUUGAGUUCGGGAGAGAGAGACGGAAUGCCAGGUGUAGUGGUGAAAUACGUAGAUAUCUGGAAGAACACCCGUUGCGAAGGCGGUCUCUUGGUCCGACACUGACGCUGAGGCGCGAAAGCGUGGGGAGCAAACA